Molecule: non-coding RNA, 23 nt
Filed under: Cricetulus griseus (Chinese hamster)
Lineage: Eukaryota; Metazoa; Chordata; Mammalia; Rodentia; Cricetidae
Source: RNAcentral
GAGGCAAAGAAUGAACUGAAACG